This 384-nucleotide long non-coding RNA is filed under the name Solanum lycopersicum (tomato). RNAcentral describes it as "long non-coding RNA (SLYC_LNC000811)". Lineage: Eukaryota; Viridiplantae; Streptophyta; Magnoliopsida; Solanales; Solanaceae. The record is from RNAcentral.
CCUUCUUCCUCAUCGUCGUUCCGUCUCCGUAGCCCGAGCUUGAAUUCUAUUCGUCUUCGUCGGAUCUUCGAUGUGUUCGAUAGAAAUCACGAUUGUUUGAUCAGCGUUGAAGAACUCAGCCAAGCACUUAACCUGCUUGGAUUAGACGCCGAUCUAUCAGAAAUUGAAUCGAUGGUGAAAUCAUACAUCAAACCAGAAAACACUGGUCUUAGAUUUGAAGAUUUCGAAGCCUUACAUCGAUCUCUGAACGACGUUUUCUUCGGGUCAAAAUGUGAAGAUAAGCUCGGGUUGAAUUCGGAUCCGGCACAGGAUGAAUUGGAUCUGAAAGAAGCGUUUGAUGUUUUUGACGAGAACGGGGAUGGAUUUAUAUCGGCGAAGGAAUUG